Molecule: ribosomal RNA, 432 nt
Filed under: uncultured bacterium
Lineage: Bacteria
Description: partial 16S ribosomal RNA
Rfam family: Bacterial small subunit ribosomal RNA
Source: RNAcentral
GAUGAACGCUGGCGGUAUGCUUAACACAUGCAAGUCGAACGGUCACUUCGGUGAUAGUGGCGGACGGGUGAGUAACGCGUGAGAAUCUGUCUUCAGGUCGGGGACAACAGUUAGAAAUGACUGCUAAUACCGGAUGUGCCUUUGGGUGAAAGAUUUAUUGCCUGAAAAAGAGCUCGCGUCAGAUUAGCUAGUAGGUGGUGUAAGAGACUACCUAGGCUCCGAUCUGUAGCUGGUCUGAGAGGACGAUCAGCCACACUGGAACUGAGACACGGUCCAGACUCCCACGGGAGGCAGCAGUGGGGAAUUUUCCGCAAUGGGCGAAAGCCUGACGGAGCAAUACCGCGUGAGGGACGAAGACUUUUGGGUCGUAAACCUCUUUUCUCAAGGAAGAUGAUGACGGUACUUGAGGAAUAAGCAUCGGCUAACUCUGUG